This 253-nucleotide ribosomal RNA is filed under the name uncultured bacterium. RNAcentral describes it as "partial 16S ribosomal RNA". It matches the Rfam family "Bacterial small subunit ribosomal RNA", at positions 524 to 776 of the family's 1533-position model. The record is from RNAcentral.
UACGUAGGGUGCGAGCGUUGUCCGGAUUUAUUGGGCGUAAAGAGCUCGUAGGCGGUCUGUCGCGUCGGAUGUGAAAACCCAGGGCCCAACCCUGGGCCUGCAUUCGAUACGGGCAGACUAGAGUAUGGCAGGGGAGACUGGAAUUCCUGGUGUAGCGGUGAAAUGCGCAGAUAUCAGGAGGAACACCGGUGGCGAAGGCGGGUCUCUGGGCCAAAACUGACGCUGAGGAGCGAAAGCGUGGGGAGCGAACAGG